GAUGAACGCUGGCGGCGUGCCUAAUACAUGCAAGUCGAGCGAACGGACGAGAAGCUUGCUUCUCUGAUGUUAGCGGCGGACGGGUGAGUAACACGUGGAUAACCUACCUAUAAGACUGGGAUAACUUCGGGAAACCGGGGCUAAUACCGGAUGAUAUUUUGAACCGCAUGGUUCAAAAGUGAAAGACGGUCUUGCUGUCACUUAUAGAUGGAUCCGCGCUGCAUUAGCUAGUUGGUAAGGUAACGGCUUACCAAGGCAACGAUGCAUAGCCGACCUGAGAGGGUGAUCGGCCACACUGGAACUGAGACACGGUCCAGACUCCUACGGGAGGCAGCAGUAGGGAAUCUUCCGCAAUGGGCGAAAGCCUGACGGAGCAACGCCGCGUGAGUGAUGAAGGUCUUCGGAUCGUAAAACCCUGUUAUUAGGGAAGAACAUAUGUGUAAGUAACUGUGCACAUCUUGACGGUACCUAAUCAGAAAGCCACGGCUAACUACGUG
This 497-nucleotide ribosomal RNA is filed under the name uncultured bacterium. RNAcentral describes it as "partial 16S ribosomal RNA". It matches the Rfam family "Bacterial small subunit ribosomal RNA", at positions 28 to 507 of the family's 1533-position model. The record is from RNAcentral.